Molecule: ribosomal RNA, 497 nt
Filed under: uncultured bacterium
Lineage: Bacteria
Description: partial 16S ribosomal RNA
Rfam family: Bacterial small subunit ribosomal RNA
Source: RNAcentral
GAUGAACGCUGGCGGCGUGCCUAAUACAUGCAAGUCGAGCGAACAGACGAGGAGCUUGCCCCCCUGACGUUAGCGGCGGACGGGUGAGUAACACGUGGAUAACCUACUUAUAAGACUGGGAUAACUUCGGGAAACCGGAGCUAAUACCGGAUAAUAUAUUGAACCGCAUGGUUCAAUAGUGAGAUACGGUUUUGCUGUCACUUAUAGAUGGAUCCGCGCCGCAUUAGCUAGUUGGUAAUGUAACGGCUUACCAAGGCGACGAUGCGUAGCCGACCUGAGAGGGUGAUCGGCCACACUGGAACUGAGACACGGUCCAGACUCCUACGGGAGGCAGCAGUAGGGAAUCUUCCGCAAAGGGCGAGAGCCUGACGGAGCAACGCCGCGUGAGUGAUGAAGGUCUUCGGAUCGUAAAGCUCUGUUAUUAGGGAAGAACAAAUGUGUAAGUAACUAUGCACGUCUUGACGGUACCUAAGCAGAAAGCCACGGCUAACUACGUG